RNAcentral lists this ribosomal RNA (380 nucleotides) under uncultured bacterium. RNAcentral's name for it is "partial 16S ribosomal RNA". It matches the Rfam family "Bacterial small subunit ribosomal RNA", at positions 338 to 732 of the family's 1533-position model. The record is from RNAcentral.
CCUACGGGAGGCAGCAGUGAGGAAUAUUGGGCAAUGGGCGCGAGCCUGACCCAGCAACGCCGCGUGAAGGAAGAAGGCUCUAGGGUUGUAAACCUCUUUUGUCAGGGACGAAGCAAGUGACGGUACCUGACGAGUAAGCCACGGCUAAGUACGUGCCAGCAGCCACGGUAAUCCGAAGGUGGCAAGAGUUAUGCGGAUGUACUGGUUGUAAAGGGCGGGUAGGCGGGACUGCGAGUAAGAUGUGAAAACCACGGGCUGAACCCGUGGCCUGCCUUUGAAACUGUAGUUCUUGAGUAAUGGAGAGGCAUGCGGAAUUCGUAGUGUAGCGGUGAAAUGCGUAGAUAUUACGCGGAACACCGGUGGCGAAGGCGGUCUGCCGG